UCCCUGAUGGUUCAGUGAUUAAGACUCUGUGCUUCUAAUACAAGGGGCCCGAGUUUGAUCCCUGGUUGGGGAA
RNAcentral lists this transfer RNA (73 nucleotides) under Ovis aries (sheep). It matches the Rfam family "tRNA". Rfam says of the family: Transfer RNA (tRNA) molecules are approximately 80 nucleotides in length. Their secondary structure includes four short double-helical elements and three loops (D, anti-codon, and T loops). Further hydrogen bonds mediate the characteristic L-shaped molecular structure. tRNAs have two regions of fundamental functional importance: the anti-codon, which is responsible for specific mRNA codon recognition, and the 3' end, to which the tRNAs corresponding amino acid is attached (by aminoacyl-tRNA synthetases). tRNAs cope with the degeneracy of the genetic code in two manners: having more than one tRNA (with a specific anti-codon) for a particular amino acid; and 'wobble' base-pairing, i.e. permitting non-standard base-pairing at the 3rd anti-codon position. The record is from Rfam by way of RNAcentral. Lineage: Eukaryota; Metazoa; Chordata; Mammalia; Artiodactyla; Bovidae.